CCCUAUGGGGUGCCGCAGGCAGGGUAUCCCAAACUUCAUCGGGUCCAUAGAUGCUGUUGAGCAGGAAGGUGCCGACCUUGCGCGCGUAUUUGACGAGGUCAAUCCGGUCCACGCAGCUGACCUGGUGGCAGGCCAGGAAAUUGGCCUCCCCUUCGGAGAUGACAUAAGGAGCUUCAAUCUCAUCCGGACCAAAACGCAGGUGGGAUACCGUCAGUGAACCAGAUUUCUUGGAGUCGUACUCGAAAUAGCCCUGGGCGAAGUUGUUGGUCUCAUCACCAAUAAUCUUGAUGGAGUUUUUGUUCGCGCCCACGGUGCCAUCGGAGCCCAGGCCAAAGAACAUGGCCUGCACCACGUUUUCGGGCAGGAUUUCAAAGGUGUGGUCGUACUCAAUGCUGAGGUUGGUGACAUCAUCAAUGAUGCCGACGGUGAAUGGGCGGGAGGGC
This 443-nucleotide ribosomal RNA is filed under the name uncultured prokaryote. Its description in RNAcentral is "partial 16S ribosomal RNA". The record is from RNAcentral.